RNAcentral lists this ribosomal RNA (723 nucleotides) under uncultured bacterium. Its description in RNAcentral is "bacterial SSU rRNA". It matches the Rfam family "Bacterial small subunit ribosomal RNA", at positions 127 to 851 of the family's 1533-position model. The record is from RNAcentral.
UGCCCGUUGCCCGGGGACAACCGGUGGAAACGCCGACUAAUCCCCGAUGGGAUACGAUGCUUCAUGGCAUUGUAUUGAAAGUUACGGCGGCGACGGAUUGGCUCGCGUCCGAUUAGCUGGUUGGCGGGGUAACGGCCCACCAAGGCUACGAUCGGUAGGGGUUCUGAGAGGAAGGCCCCCCACAAUGGGACUGAGACACGGCCCAUACUCCUACGGGAGGCAGCAGUGAGGAAUAUUGGUCAAUGGGCGGAAGCCUGAACCAGCCAUGCCGCGUGCGGGAAGGAGGCCCUAUGGGCUGUGAACCGCUUUUGCCUGGGGGCAAUAAGGGCGUCGCGCACGUCCGAUGAGAGUACCAGGCGAAUAAGCAUCGGCUAACUCCGUGCCAGCAGCCGCGGUAAUACGGGGGAUGCGAGCGUUAUCCGGAUUCAUUGGGUUUAAAGGGUGCGUAUGCUGUGCGUCAAGUCGGGGGUGAAAUUCCGGUGCUCAACACCGGGGCUGCCCUUGAUACUGUCGCGCUGGAGUGCGGAUGCCGCCGGAGGAAUGAGUGGUGUAGCGGUGAAAUGCUUAGAUAUCACUCAGAACACCGAUUGCGAAGGCAUCUGGCGAAUCCGUAACUGACGCUGAGGCACGAAAGCGUGGGGAUAGAACAGGAUUAGAUACCCUGGUAUUCCACGCCGUAAACGAUGAUGGCUAACCGCCGGCGACACACUGUCGGUGGCCAAG